RNAcentral lists this unclassified non-coding RNA (433 nucleotides) under soil metagenome. RNAcentral's name for it is "partial contains 5.8S ribosomal RNA, internal transcribed spacer 2, and large subunit ribosomal RNA". The stretch from base 1 to 120 matches the Rfam family "5.8S ribosomal RNA", at positions 35 to 154 of the family's 154-position model. The record is from RNAcentral.
GAUGAAGAACGCAGCGAAAUGCGAAACGUAAUGUGAAUUGCAGAAUUCAGUGAAUCAUCGAAUCUUUGAACGCAUAUUGCGCUCUCUGGUAUUCCGGAGAGCAUGCUUGUUUGAGUAUCAGUAAACACCUCAACUUCCAUAUCUUUUUUGAAAUGGGAGUUGGACUUGAGUGAUCCCAACGCUUUUCCUCACCGAAAAGUGGCGGGUUACUUGAAAUGCAGGUGCAGCUGGACUUUUCUCUGAGCUAUAAGCAUAUCUAUUUAGUCUGCCUAAAAAACAGAUUAUUACCUUUGCUGCAGCUAACAUAAAGGAGAUUAGUUCUUGUGCUGACUGAUGCAGGAUUCACAAAGACAGGCUUCGGCCGACUUUGUAAACUCGAUCUCAAAUCAAGUAAGACUACCCGCUGAACUUAAGCAUAUCAAUAAGCGGAGGA